GAUGUUCCUUUGCCUAUAAAAGGGGACCUUGGCCACGAUUUUGAAGAAUCGAAUUCUCUCCAUCAUAUUCUGGUUUCCUUCAUUUUCUUUGUAACAAUUCACUAUGUAUUUCUAAACAUUUAGCUAGAGCUAAGGGUGAAACUUUGAUGAAUGUUUAGUAUUGUCUUUGAUCUUUCAUUUUGUUCUUCAAUGUUCAUCUUCUUACUUGGUUGAAGUUUGUGUUCUACAAAUGGUUUUGGUUUGUUAAAGACUUUGAUUUAUUGUUGAC
Molecule: long non-coding RNA, 268 nt
Filed under: Olea europaea (common olive)
Lineage: Eukaryota; Viridiplantae; Streptophyta; Magnoliopsida; Lamiales; Oleaceae
Description: long non-coding RNA (OEUR_LNC011700)
Source: RNAcentral